GAUUAACGCUGGCGGCGUGCAUAACACAUGCAAGUCGAACGAUGAAACUUAAAUGAUUUCUUCGGAAUGAACUUAAGUGGAUUAGUGGCGGACGGGUGAGUAACGCGUGAGUAACCUGCCUUACACAAGGGGAUAGCCGUUGGAAACGACGAAUAAUACCCUACGAAACUAUCACUUCGCAUGAAGCGAUAGUCAAAGUGUUAGCGGUGUAAGAUGGACUUGCGUCUGAUUAGCUAGUUGGUGAGAAAAAAGCCCACCAAGGCAACGAUCAGUAGCCGGCUUGAGAGAGUGUACGGCCACAUUGGGACUGAGGCACGGCCCAGACUCCUACGGGAGGCAGCAGUGGGGAAUUUUGCACAAUGGGGGAAACCCUGAUGCAGCGACGCCGCGUGAUUUAGAAGGCCUUCGGGUUGUAAAAAUCUUUUGUAUAGGAAGAAAAUGACAGUACUAUACGAAUAAGGUCCGGCUAAUUACGUG
Molecule: ribosomal RNA, 477 nt
Filed under: uncultured bacterium
Lineage: Bacteria
Description: partial 16S ribosomal RNA
Rfam family: Bacterial small subunit ribosomal RNA
Source: RNAcentral